CGUGUAGGCGGCUAAUUAAGUCAGAUGUGAAAGCCCUGGGCUCAACCCAGGAAGUGCAUUUGAAACUAAUUAGCUAGAGUACGAGAGAGGAAGGUGGAAUUCCUGGUGUAGAGGUGAAAUUCAUAGAUAUCGGGAAGAAUACCGGUGGCGAAGGCGGCCUUCUGGCUCGAUACUGACGCUGAGACGCGAAAGCGUGGGGAGCAAACA
Molecule: ribosomal RNA, 207 nt
Filed under: uncultured bacterium
Lineage: Bacteria
Description: partial 16S ribosomal RNA
Rfam family: Bacterial small subunit ribosomal RNA
Source: RNAcentral